AACCUUUACACUGCACGACAGUGCGAUAGGGGGACACCGAGUGCGAGGGCAUAGAGCCCUCGCUUUUCUGAACCUUAAGGUGGUUCAGGAACAAGGGCUGGGCAAGACCGGUGCCAGCCGCCGCGGUAACACCGGCAGCCCAAGUGAUGGCCGAUUUUAUUGGGCCUAAAGCGUCCGUAGCUGGCCGCGCAAGUUCGUCGGGAAAUCCACGCGCUUAACGUGUGGGCGUCCGGCGAAAACUGUGCGGCUUGGGACCGGAAGAUCUGAGGGGUACGUCUGGGGUAGGAGUGAAAUCCCGUAAUCCUGGACGGACCACCGAUGGCGAAAGCACUUCAGAAGGACGGAUCCGACAGUGAGGGACGAAAGCUAGGGUCUCGAACCGGAUUAGAUACCCGGGUAGUCCUAGCCGUAAACGAUGCUCGCUAGGUGUGGCACAGGCUACGAGCCUGUGCUGUGCCGUAGGGAAGCCGUGAAGCGAGCCGCCUGGGAAGUACGUCUGCAAGGAUGAAACUUAA
Molecule: ribosomal RNA, 515 nt
Filed under: uncultured haloarchaeon
Lineage: Archaea; Methanobacteriati; Methanobacteriota; Halobacteria; Halobacteriales; Halobacteriaceae
Description: bacterial SSU rRNA
Rfam family: Archaeal small subunit ribosomal RNA
Source: RNAcentral